UACAGAGGGGGCAAGCGUUGUUCGGAAUUACUGGGCGUAAAGGGCGCGUAGGCGGCCUUCUAAGUCGAACGUGAAAUCCCCGGGCUUAACCUGGGAACUGCGCUUGUUACUGGCAGGCUGGAGUGUGGCAGAGGGGGGUGGAAUUCCACGUGUAGCAGUGAAAUGCGUAGAGAUGUGGAGGAACACCGAUGGCGAAGGCAGCCCCCUGGGCUAACACUGACGCUCAUGCACGAAAGCGUGGGGAGCAAACAGG
This 253-nucleotide ribosomal RNA is filed under the name uncultured bacterium. RNAcentral describes it as "partial 16S ribosomal RNA". It matches the Rfam family "Bacterial small subunit ribosomal RNA", at positions 524 to 776 of the family's 1533-position model. The record is from RNAcentral.